GGAAAGUUUCGCGAAACAGGGUGAUAGCCCCGUACACGAAACGGUUAGUUGGACAUAUUAAGUAGGGCGGGGCACGUGAAACCUUGUCUGAAGAUCGGGGGACCAUCCUCGAAGGCUAAAUACUCGUUAUCGACCGAUAGUGAACCAGUACCGUGAGGGAAAGGCGAAAAGAACCCCGGAGAGGGGAGUGAAAUAGAACCUGAAACCGGAUGCGUACAAGCAGUGGGAGCUCUUCGGAGUGACUGCGUACCUUUUGUAUAAUGGGUCAGCGACUUAUAUUCUGUAGCAAGGUUAACCGAAUAGGGGAGCCGUAGGGAAACCGAGUCUUAAUAGGGCGUCUAGUUGCAGGGUAUAGACCCGAAACCGAGUGAUCUAUCCAUGAGCAGGUUGAAAGUGACGUAACAGUUACCGGAGGACCGAACCCACUGUCUUUGAAAAGCCAGGGGAUGACUUGUGGAUAGGGGUGAAAGGCUAAUCAAACUCGGUGAUAGCUGGUUCUCCCCGAAAGCUAUUUAGGUAGCGCCUCGGACGAACACCAUUGGGGGUAGAGCACUGUUUCGGCUAGGGGGUCAUCUCGACUUACCAAACCGAUGCAAACUCCGAAUACCAACAAGUGCAAUCACGGGAGACACACGGCGGGUGCUAACGUCCGUCGUGGAAAGGGAAACAACCCAGACCGCCAGCUAAGGCCCCAAAUUCCUAGUUAAGUGGGAAACGAUGUGGGAAGGCACAGACAGCUAGGAGGUUGGCUUAGAAGCAGCCAUCCUUUAAAGAAAGCGUAACAGCUCACUGGUCAAGCGUUCCUGCGCGGAAAAUGUAACGGGGCUUAAGUGAUACACCGAAGCUGCGGACUCGAAAGAGUGGUAGCGGAGCGUUCUGUAAGUCUGUGAAGGUGGCCUGCGAGGGCUGCUGGAGAUAUCAGAAGUGAGAAUGCUGACAUGAGUAGCGAUAAAGAGGGUGAGAGGCCCUCUCGCCGAAAGUCCAAGGGUUCCUGCGCAAUGCUAAUCAGCGCAGGGUAAGCCGGCCCCUAAGGCGAGGCCGAAAGGCGUAGUCGAUGGGAACCAGGUUAAUAUUCCUGGGCCAGCGGGUAGUGACGGAUUGCGGACGUUGUGCACUCUUACUGGAUUGAGUGUGCAGCCAAGCCGUCCCUGGAAAUAGCUCCCGCAUGAGACCGUACCCCAAACCGACACAGGUGGACUGGUAGAGCAUACCAAGGCGCUUGAGAGAACUCUGUUGAAGGAACUCGGCAAAUUACUCCCGUAAGUUCGCGAGAAGGGAGCCUGGCAUUAGGCAACUGGUGUCCAGGGGCACAGACCAGGGGGUGGCGACUGUUUAUUAAAAACACAGGGCUCUGCGAAGUCGCAAGACGACGUAUAGGGUCUGACGCCUGCCCGGUGCCGGAAGGUUAAAAGGAGGGGUGAGAGCUCCGAAUUGAAGCCCCGGUAAACGGCGGCCGUAACUAUAACGGUCCUAAGGUAGCGAAAUUCCUUG
RNAcentral lists this ribosomal RNA (1491 nucleotides) under Chattonella subsalsa. Its description in RNAcentral is "partial Bacterial large subunit ribosomal RNA". It matches the Rfam family "Bacterial large subunit ribosomal RNA", at positions 344 to 1971 of the family's 2925-position model. The record is from RNAcentral. Lineage: Eukaryota; Raphidophyceae; Chattonellales; Chattonellaceae.